Molecule: long non-coding RNA, 679 nt
Filed under: Homo sapiens (human)
Lineage: Eukaryota; Metazoa; Chordata; Mammalia; Primates; Hominidae
Description: non-protein coding lnc-FSTL4-1:3
Source: RNAcentral
AUCAUGCCCCGCUAGACGAAGAGCUGACCGCUCAGAGAAUGGUUACGAAAGGGACAAACAAGCCAACAAACGAAGUCCAGUCUCCCCAUUUGUUGUAACCGCCGGGUCCCCUUUGGUUGCCAUGGCACUUGAGGCCAGAAAGUCCUCAGCUCCCAGGUGAAGUCCUCCACCAGCUGCCCAUUCCUGGGGGUGGAUGCCGUGACAGCCACGCCAGAUUGUCAGCUACCCAGAAGGAGAGGAGGUGGCCGUCUGUGUUCUCCAAACUUCUGGGACUCCUCAAGGAGUGAAGUCUGAUCUACGCACGGAACCAACCACCACGGCAAAGGAAGAGCGAUGGCGCCCCCAUGUGGCAACACAAGCACUGCGAUUUCACACAAGACCAAAUCAGAAUUGGCCGGAGGGGAACGUCAGAUUCUUAGGGAGUGUUACUCCAACUAAUGCUACACUCAGGGCGACUUCUUGGAAGGCAAAAGCCCCAUAGUCUAGCCAUACAACUUUCCAGAAAAGUAGCACUCUUCAAAACAGCUGGCAUUAAAAUUCUUGGCUCUGCCAUCCACCCGUUCUGUGAGACUCUUUCCUCAUCCCCAAAAAUGGAAGGUCUGAUGACUUCAAAAAGAGUUUUACCGUUUUUCCCCUCAUUGAAAAUAAUAGAAAACAGUAAAAUACUGCAAAAAAAAAA